UCGUACGCCCCGGGGGCAUCGCCGGGGCGUGGCGCACGGCUCAGUAACACGUAGCUAACCUACCCUCGGGACGGGGAUAACCCCGGGAAACUGGGGCUAAUCCCCGAUAGGCGAGGGCACCUGGAAUGGGCCCUCGCCGAAAGGCCCACGGGCCGAUCCUGCCCGUGGGCGCCCGAGGAUGGGGCUGCGGCCCAUCAGGUAGUUGGCGGGGUAACGGCCCGCCAAGCCGAUWACGGGUAGGGGCCGUGAGAGCGGGMGCCCCGAGAUGGGYACUGAGACAAGGGCCCAKGCCCUACGGGGCGCA
RNAcentral lists this ribosomal RNA (304 nucleotides) under uncultured archaeon. RNAcentral's name for it is "bacterial SSU rRNA". It matches the Rfam family "Archaeal small subunit ribosomal RNA", at positions 58 to 334 of the family's 1478-position model. The record is from RNAcentral.